CUUUUUGAUUAUAAUUUAAGGUCUGGCCUGCCCAAUGAUAAAAUUAAAUGGCCGCGGUAUUUUGACCGUGCAAAGGUAGCAUAAUCAUUAGUUUUUUAAUUGGAAGCUUGUABGAAAGGUUGGAUGAGAAAAUAGCUGUCUCUAUUUAAAUUUUGUAGAAUUUUAUUUUUAAGUAAAAAAGCUUAAAUAUUUAUAGAAGACGAGAAGACCCUAUAGAGUUUUAUAAGUAAUAAUAAUUAUAAUUUUUAGUAUUUUAACUUUAAUUUUUAAUAUUUAUUUAAUUGGGGUGAUUAAAAAAUUUAGUAAACUUUUUUUUAAUGGUAACAUUUAUUUAUGAUAAUAUGAUCCUUUUUUAAAGAUUAAAAGAAUAAAUUACCUUAGGGAUAACAGCGUANUUUUUUUUAAGAGUUCUAAUCGAAAAGAAAGAUUGCGACCUCGAUGUUGGAUUAAAAUAAAUUUUUGGUGUAGAAGCUAAA
RNAcentral lists this ribosomal RNA (476 nucleotides) under Myossita melanocephala. RNAcentral's name for it is "partial 16S ribosomal RNA". The record is from RNAcentral. Lineage: Eukaryota; Metazoa; Arthropoda; Insecta; Coleoptera; Curculionidae.